This is a non-coding RNA of Lupinus albus (white lupine), 119 nucleotides long. NCBI's taxonomy places the organism in Eukaryota, Viridiplantae, Streptophyta, Magnoliopsida, Fabales, Fabaceae. The record is from the annotation of a GenBank genome assembly.
AGCCAUGCAAUAAACACAAAGCGAACUAUUCUUUCGCCUUUUACUAAAGAAUACCGUGCGUUUGUUGCUUUGAGUGGCAUACGCUAAUUUUUUGAAAGGAGACCUUCUAAUCGGAGGUU